CUCCACCACCUACGCAGAAAAGCGUGCGGGUGGCCAGGCGUCGCGGCUUCGACAGCCUGGCGUCUGUUUGACCUACGUCCUGCAGCUCCGAAUCCCCACGCGGUCGGAGUUUCCCACAGGGAGCACCACCUGCGGAAAACACGCUUCCCGGCAGAAACAAGAUAGGCCUCCCUAACCGAGAGCCUCUCCCUAAUGGGAUCACGCUCUGCCCGAGAGAAAUGCGCCAGCGCCCACCUCCUGAGCACAGUCCUCACCUCAGAGAGCUACGCAUCCUAACACCAACACCCAGAGGAGGGUCAUGGUCAUUAAUUCUACCGGCUUCCUGGAGCAUGCUCAUCCACUCCCUUGGCUUUAACCAUCACCUCUGAGUCAAUAACUCAGGAACGGUCUUUCAGCUUGGACCUGCAUUUCCAUCAGCUUUUGCCAAACCUGCUCCUCUCCGGUGCUCCCUGACUCACUGGAUAGCACUCGCCACCUGAGACACAAACUCCCACUGUCAUGAUAAUUAAUGUUUAUUGGCUGCCAGUUAUGCACCAGGCACUUUACUGGUGUUGUCUCAUUUUACCAUCCCAGCGACUCUGGGAGGUGGAUGUUAUCCCUGUUUUAUAGCCAGGAAAGGGAGGCUCAGAGAAGUUAAGUAACUGGCCCAAGGUCAUAUAAUUAGUAACUGGCAGGGCCAGGUUGUCUGAUACUAAAGUCCACACCUCUGAGCAUUGUGCUGGCUGCCCCAUCAGUCACAGGAUUCUGCACAUCGUUUCCUGAACGCUUCUUGACUUCAUCCCCACCCCACAAGCCUGCCUUUGUUUGGCCCUCAUCCUUACUCACUGUUGGUAUGUGGACCAUACCAACAGCCACACCCACUUUCUGCAACUCAUCCUCGGCAGUGAUCUAAGACCAAAUCUGACCUUGUGAUUUUUUUGCCUAUGACCUCCCAUGGCUCCCUAUUGCCCUCAGGAUCAUGUCCAUGCUCCUGAGCCCUGUGCUGCUCCCAUGCUGUCCCUCCCUGUGUUCCCAACAGGCCCCUUCUCACCCAUGCA
Molecule: long non-coding RNA, 1037 nt
Organism: Sapajus apella (tufted capuchin)
Lineage: Eukaryota; Metazoa; Chordata; Mammalia; Primates; Cebidae
Exons: 2
Source: RefSeq, a predicted model, not a curated record